This 7753-nucleotide unclassified non-coding RNA is filed under the name Leishmania donovani. Its description in RNAcentral is "gene:LdHU3.02.0680(CDS-product:protein_kinase_put ative)". Lineage: Eukaryota; Euglenozoa; Kinetoplastea; Trypanosomatida; Trypanosomatidae. The record is from RNAcentral.
GUGUCUUGGCGAAAGAUACAGCAUUCUGCCGAGCUUGAACAUUGGUCUACGAGCUGGAGCUUGAAAGCCUCAGCUCCCUUUCUUCUAUAGCUCGGAGCCCUUCGUUACGUUUUUUCCCCUUUUGGAGAGGCAAGGCGCUGUCGUAUGCGAUACUGGCCAUAAAGAAGCGGUGCACCGACGGUCAACUGGAAAGUCUGCGUUCUUUAUAUUGCGGGUGCCAAUAGGUUGGAGAAGCAGCGCUAGCGCGUGUAGCGCGCCAGUGACAAGGAAACUCAUCUUUUUGUUUUUGUCAACGCUCUCCUGUGGCACCUGUGGAAUUUGCUCACGCACACUUUUCAAAAUUAGCUUUUCAGUAGAGCAACCUAUUCCCUUUUUUCCUGCAGGUUCAGCAAGGGCUGACCGCAUCGACUGCAGCUGAGCUUAGCUGGGCAUCCGCUAGUAGCGUAAACUCUCAAGUUUGCGCCUGAUUGACGUAAUGCAGACUUCGGAGGGUGGCGCGCGUAAGCAAAGCGCCAAAGCGAGCGAAACUGGCUCAGGCGCGACUGUGGCUUCGGUGAAAGCGGCACAAUUGCCGCGGCAGCCCUCCUAUGCACCGGGAACGAAUCGGCUGCCUGAGGUCGAAGAGGCAAGAAGAUGCUCUUCUAUUCGCAAAGAAAGCGAUGGCAGAGUCGCAGGGCGGUGCACUGCGCGUAGCAGAGACAUUGCCUCGAAAAACAGUUACUUAUCUGAGGGAAGUGGAAAUCAGCGUCAAGCUGAGGGUUCUGACCGUGAGGGUCGUGGGAAUUUGUGUGGCAAUGGCCAUGCUCAGCAUAGCUGCGCUUUGGCUAGCCGCUCAUACAUAAAAUCAGAUAUUAGCAUGGACACCUUCGUUCCGCAUCGUGAACUGUCAGAGCAUGGCAGUGAGAAAGAUGGACAGGUGCAAAUAAAUCUGGAGGGCGUCGAAAAGUCAGUGUUCACCCCUGAACAACCCGCCUCUGGUGACAGCACUAGUGUCUCUCGCAUUCCUCCCAGCUGUGAUGCGUCGGCAACCGCAGCAGUGGACCCUUUGGCGAAAAUUGAGACAGCAGUGGCCUCCACAGCGUAUGGUGAGAGUGGCUCUGGCGCAAGAAAGAGCUCCGCUCACGCGGAGAAGUCUAUGCAGCCGUUGCGCAAUCAACUCCGCCGCUUUUCUUCGAGCAAAGACACGCCGCGCCGCCGAAGCCAUGGCAUAUGUCCUACAGCACUCGUUGCUAGCCGCACGCUGCCUGUUGGGCGCGUCGAGACAGAGUUGGCAGACAGCGACUGGGGAGGGGCAUCAGGAUCCGGGGACGUUGCGGAGGCAAAGGUUCCAAGCGCUCGCACAGGCUGCUUGCCGAAUACGAGUGUCUUCGCUGGUGAUGUUGUUACAACUGACACUCGCGAAGGCACUAGUCGCGACAGACGAAGUGCCCAGUUUCUGCGAGAGAUGUUGGGCGUGGUUGAGAAGGAUCAGGCGGGCUCCUCUAGGGGGUGUGAGGGUGACGGUGGGAACGUGAACAGUGCAGCGACAGUUCCAAAUCCCCUUCAUCAUCGCAACAGCGCAAGUAGGGCAAGUGACAGUGGGUCUAUCAGCGACAUUCCCUACGGGUAUGGUAAUGAAGCUUUCGGAACACAAAGCAGUGCAACGCGAAGAGAAUUGCAUGCGCGCAACGUCGACAAUGUUGCCGGGGGCGACAGAGAUCAGUACAACACAGACAGUCUUGUAGAUGGGCGUUCCUUUGGUAGUUAUCGCGGCGAGCUAGAGUGGCUGUGCGUCCCUUCUUUGUUCUACCUUUUUGCCAACAUGAUCAAGUGGAAUGAGCUUCGACUGCAGCGCCGAACAUCUCAAACCCCUCUCGAGGAGAACCGCUCCUGCUCAAGUGAUGAGUCAUUUUCUCUAGCUUCAAUUUGGACCCCAAAUCGUGAGCAGGAACUCCAUGUGCUUGAGGAUCGCAUCAGUUUCUCAGUUUUCGAGUUGGAGGGGGUGUACUUGAACCCGUUGUUGGUGAGCUGGUCGAAGCCGAGGCUGCGCUCGCUUGUUGCAGAUGUUGCGGCAACAUGGGCAAAGGAAGGCCCCUACAGUGCCGAGUUUGACUGCAUCUCGUCACGCCUUUUCGACGCCAUUUCUACAGAGCAGACUUGCCAGCUUCGAAGCACCUGUUUGCUCUCGGUGCGACAGUGGCUGGGAAGUGCACAACACCGAUGGGACGUCACGUGCGUCUUGAUAGCUUUACUGACGGUUUCGAUUCUUUGCAUUGUCUUUCUUGCGGUGUUUGGCCGCACCCAAGCCGUCUGCGUUGUAUUUUCGACGAUGCUCAGCGUAGCGGUGGUCUUGAUGUACGUGGUUGCAGUGUUUGUGUUGCAUCACAACACGUACGCAGACGCGGCUUCCAGGUACUUCCGCGAGGAGGUGGUGCGCGCAGCUCAGAAGAAGAUGGAGGAGGAGGAAAUGGCGGAAAAACGAGAUGUGGGCAGUAGAAGCGGGUACAGACACCGCGGUGCGGUGAAGACGUCUCGGGACGCGGCGGACAACGGUUGCAGGGGUUACACAGCGGGCGAUGACGACACAGGUGUCGAUGAUGAGUAUAUGGAGGAUGAAAUAUCUAUUGCGGUACGCAACCUCCGAGCUCUGACGGAGGGUAGCACCCACCCGGUUACUAACGCGCCGCCCUACUAUCGCCUAUCGGAUCGGCCUCACAGUGGAAAGUGUGACAACGGCGGUGCAGGGGGCGGCUUUGAAGAUGAUAUGACACUGGCCGAUGGGAACUACGCUUCCCUCACCAGCCGUUCUUUGCAGGCUGGUGACAAAGCCAAGCAGCAGUUUGAGGAAGAUCGUGAAAAUAGACUCCUGCUGAGCCGCGGGACCUUCGAGCAGCAUCAGGCGCACAUGGAUCAGCGGGAGUCUCACAGGGUGCACGAACGCAUGAACGCACAGCAAGCGCUGCGUCCUACAAAGCAAGCGACGCCCAGCAGCACCAGUGGCGCCACUGGAGCUCAGACGAGGCCGAGCACCGCUGACAGCGGUGGAAGCGGCAGACAGGAGCAGCUGACUCGGGGAGGGCGCGACGGCAAAAAGAUUGUGAUGCAGGAGCAGCAGCCGCUACAGCAACUCGAUGACUUGCCAGAGAAUGUCAACGUCACGGCGCUGCUGUUUUGCAGGAAUGCGGGUGUCCUUUCUCAAGUGGCGUCAUCGCUAUGGGAGCGCAAUUUUAUGCUGUUGCGCGUCAGCAACCUUCAAGCACUCAACAAAUUCAAUCGCGGUUCCGAGCGUUUCGGGGUGGUGUUGAUUCAUGCCCCUGAUGUGGCGGAGGGAUCUGCAGAGUUGGAGACGGCGCUUUCGUGGCUGCAGGUGGAGAGGCGGCCCGUCUUUUUCUUUUCCCGCUCGGCGAUGGCAUACCCGGCCAGCGUGCCCUUUUCCGCCCGGCUGCUGGUGCCGUUUUCCUCCACUUCCCUUAACGCUCUCUUGCUGGCUGGCAUUGGCGUGGAGUCGGAGCACGGUUGUGUCUCGUCCCCGCUGCUUCCUCAGCAGGAGCAGGAGCGACAUCAGCAGCAGUGCCCGUCGCAGCCUUUUCAAGUCCCACCAUACACUCUCGGCCGCCGGCUUGGUGGAGGUGCCUUUGGCAACGUGUUCGAGGCAGAGAUGGAACACACAGGUGCCAGGUGCGCAGUGAAGCGGAUGUACUUGAAGGAGGACUCGAAUCAAGAUGAGGAACAGCAAGUCAACAGCGGAGUUGCUGGGGCCUGUGCAGGCGGCAGUGGCACCCUUGCAGCGGGCGCGAACUCCGCAACGUCUCCCAGGGCGGCAGCAGUGGAGGAAGAGGUGGGUGGGGCAACCACCGCGGUCGGCUCACAGCUGCGUGACAUUGCUCAGGAGGUGGAGAUAAUGAGCUCACUUCAGCAUCCCAACAUUGUGCGAUACUACUACUGCGAACGUGACGAUAACUGCAUCUCCAUCUUUAUGGAGCUCUGUACCGGCGGCUCGCUGAGAUCGUUGAUUCACAGCGGAAAGCUGGUGAACCCCCCAGAGAUCAAACAUCUGCUGCGGGAGAUCAUCAGUGCCGUUUCCUAUCUGCACAACAUGCGCAUCGUGCAUCGCGACUUGAAGCCGGACAACGUCCUCUUUCGCCAGGGGCACAUCAAGAUUACGGACUUUGGCACGGCUGUGCACAAGCACGGUGGAGACCUUCGGCUUAUCAGAGGCACGUUCGCGUACAUGGCUCCUGAGAUUUUGGUCGGGGAUCCGUACGGGCGUGCCUGUGAUGUGUGGUCUAUCGGCUGCAUCGCUGCCGAGGUGCUGUCUGUGGAGUUGCCGCAGCACGCGCUGGGGCUUCCAGAAAUGUGCGAUUACUACCGCGCCAUGGGCGAGAACAGUGAGCUGCCCAUCGAAUGCGACGUACCGGGCGUACGCGAUUUCCUCCUCGCCUGUCUGCAGCGCAAUCCCAACCAGCGCAGCACGGCAGCGGAGCUUUUCUACCACCCCAUCCUGCAAGCCCGAGACACUUCCAUUCAUGACUGGAUGGUGGAGGUGGUGGCGCGUCGCCGUCGCAUGCAGCAGCAGCAGCAAGCGCUUCACCGCAACGGACUUGGCAGCCGAACGGGUGGCGGGGCCGGCGGCCUCGGUGGCAAUCACCAAGUCAGCUCCAACGGACCGAACAAUAACGGGGGCAUGAACUGUGCGAAUGCCGGUGACCGCUUCGACCUGCAUUCCGUCGGAAGCGCUCAAUCGCUCGACUCGUCAAAACUGGUGUGACCGCCGCCGCCGCCGGACUCGGAACUUACCGCAUAGGCCGGGACCGGGCGAAGUAGCUGAUGGUCCACGCUAAGGAGUUGUUGGAUUGCGUUGGGGCAGGCGUUUCCUUCCGUCGUACACCCAAGCCCCUCGUCUCACAGCUUUGCGUCUUGAGUGCUGCAAACAGUCAAGACGCACACGCGCGUCAUUCCCGAACGUCAACGGGUGGGUGGGGUGGGGGUGGGGGCACAUGCUUGACAUGUGCCGCUGCUGUUUUCUUGUGCCCCCUUUUUUUCGAUUCUGUUUAAUGAUAUAUUUAUCGAUAUAUAUAUAUAUAUAUAUAUGUGUGUGUGCUCUCGCUUCUUUCGCCAUCUACUUCUCCUUCUUGUUCCCCCCCUCUCUUCGAGAGAAACAAGGAAGCUGCUCACGUGUCUGCGUUGUGCACACGCUUCGAGGAGCGGUGGCCUCCGCCCCCCUCCCUCUCUCCGUUGAUCUGUACUUCUCCUUUCGUCUGCGCGUGUGUUCAAGCGCUACCCCCUCUCACGCCUGCCGCGCUUGCCCUUCCACGUUUCUGUGAGGGCGUGGCGAGGAAGCACUGCUACAUUUUGGCUCCCUCCCCCCUCUCUCUCUCUCCCUCCCUCUCAUGGUGCGCAUGUUUCAUAUUCUUAGAUGUUAUCUCUUUCGUGGUGUUUCUGUUACCCCCUCCCCCUCUUUCUUCCCCCUCCCUUUCUCAUUGUGGGAGGGCACUCCGACGUCCGUGUCUCUGCGUUGUGGCGAUUUUGCUCUCGUUUUCUUUUUUCGCGUUUGAGGAUGCUCCUGCUGCACAUUUUUUUUCGUUUUUGUUUUUCGUGCCUUUUCCCACUCCCUCCGUCUUUUGUGUUUCAUUUUAUUUUUCCUCUGAGUGUUGUCGUGUUGCUUGUGCCACUCACGCUUUCCAACCGUCCCUCUGGUCUCUCUCCCUCUCUCUUCCCUCCGCUGUGUUGGCAUUUUUUUUUUUGGGUUACCUUGCACGUGAUUGCCCGCGCGCUUGAGAGAAGAGAUGCGUUGCGACUUUCUUCAGGUUUCUCUGUACGUGCGCCCGAAGGACCUGUGGGGCGAUCUCUAGCGCGCUUGUGUGUGUGUAUUGUGCGUGUGUGCGCUGCGGCGAAUGUCUUUGUUUCCGCGCUCGCGCGCCUCUUUUUUUUCCCGGUGGGCGUGUACGACACGCGUUCCUCGUAUGUGGUCAUCUUUGUUUUUCUGUAGAGCUCCAGCUGUUCAUCUCCAUUGCGAGUCCCUCCCUCCUCCCCCUCCUGUCUUGCGCCUUGCCACCAUGUUUCCGCAUCCCUUUCCUGCGUUCUUGUGCGUACCUAUAUGCUGCAUCUCUCCGUGAAGGAUUGCACCUGAAAUCAAAACAACACAACACAACAACAACGACACACACACACACACAAGCGAAAAAAAAAACGACCUACGAACCAAAAAGAGAACGCAAAGGGAGACGGCGACUGACGAACGCACACAUAAGUGACUCGCCUUCACUGGCAUGUGCGUUGGAGGCCCCGACAGGCUGUCUUUGCUGGCCGGAGGCCUUCACUUUUUGUAAAGGUCUCGUCGACUGUCUUGUACACAAAAAUCAUGUCUGGCUUCCUCUCUCUCUGCCUCUCUUUUGGUUUUCUCUGUUGCCGAUGAUUUCUUUCGUUUGUUUUCCUUUUUUUAUGUUUCUGCUUUGCUGUCCUCCUCUGCUCCUCCUCCUCUUCGUUUGCUUGUCGUCACCUCCAUCGCCCCCUCCCCCCUUUUCCCCUCUUUUGCAUGUCGAUGUGCCUCAAUCCCUGUUUCCUUCCAUUAUUAUUAUUAAUAUAUAUAUAUAUAUAUAUAUCGGAUCUUCCUGCUUCAUCCCACCCCUCCCCUGGCCCGCGCUCCUUUAUCUUCUCUCGCUCAUUCCAAACAUAUCAUUCUGCGCUACGAUCUUCAGCGCGUCUCCCGCUGCAGGCUCCACUCCUCACCCACGCUUCACCUUUCGUUCUCUCUUUUUUUUCGCGUGCGCAUGCGUGUGUGUGUGUCGUUUUGGGUUGUCUUUAUUAUUUUUUUUUUAGUGCGUCAUCUUUCUCUGUCUUGCAUGUAUGAAGCGACGGGUAUCUUCAUGUGCUUCGUUUCCCUCCCCCAACUUUUUGUGUUUCACCCUCACCCGGAUGACGGGCACGGGAAGAGUGAGGAGGGGGGAGCGCCUCAGUGCGGGGUGGUCGGGGGGGGGUCCAAGAACCCCCACUCUGUGGGAGGAGGCCAAGCGGAGCCCCUCAUCCUCUCCUCCCCUCAUCUCCUCACCCCCUCUAUCCCUUCCAACACCGAGCCGCUUCUCGUUGUGACAGGGCCCAGCACGCACGAGAUGGGGGCGGGUCAGGGCUGGCUGUCGCUGCGGAUGUCGGCGUUCGGGUCGUGAAUGGCGGUGCUGCGCCGGGGCGGCCUGCGGCGGUGAACGUGUUUGUGCCCUCCGUAUGGUGGGCGGGGUGCCCGUGCGGCCCAAACGUGUCGCUCAGCCGUCGCGCUGCCUGCUGGUGGGGCGGCUGUGGGGCGGCCUGUGUGUGUGUGGGUGGGGUUUUGGGCAGGGGCCUUGCCCCGGUGGGUGCGUAGGCGAUGUUUUCAUGCGCGUCUAGCACCGCUUCGCGCCACGCAAUGGGGCCCUGUGGAGGGCCGGUGGCCUGGCGGUGGUGUGGCCCCUGUUGGGUGCGGGGGAUGGUGGCGUGGGAAAGAAGGGACAACAACAACUGCUCUCUUUCGAGAAUGACACGCUUUCCCUUCCCUUUGGCGUCUUUUGAUGGUUGCGCUGUGUAUGCGUGUGCGUGUGUGCGCCGCAUCAUCUCCCCUCAACAUAUUACAAGUAUCUUUCAACAACAACAACACGCACACACACACACACACACACACACACACACACCAGAAAAAAAAACGAAGAAGGGCAAAGAAAAGGAAACAACCCUCAUAAAAAAGAGGAAAAAAAAGGAGUACUCGUAUGCAAUACAACCACGUAGGGGCGUUCCUGCGGAGUUUUCG